Molecule: long non-coding RNA, 438 nt
Organism: Uloborus diversus
Lineage: Eukaryota; Metazoa; Arthropoda; Arachnida; Araneae; Uloboridae
Exons: 3
Source: RefSeq, a predicted model, not a curated record
UUGGCAACACCAAAGCGGCAGCAGACUAGAAACCAGAAAAAUUUUAAAAUUUUUAAGGAGCGGAAAGAAAAGUAUUGAAAUAAUAUUUUUAAAAUGGAGAUGUUGUUCGGAUUAGAACCACCCUCCAAAGAGGCAGCCUGGAUUCUUCGGAUUCGUGAAAAGUUGCUACACGGAUUCUUUCAAAUGGGACAUCAUCAAGAGCUGGUCCAUGUUUGCCUUUGGAGUCUACAUUUCCCAGGAAAUCUGUGCCAUCGAUCUCACCUCUGCGCCCCCAGUGGCAUAGUGGAGAACUAAAUGGACUUCGCCGCAAGAGAUGUGUCGACAAAAUGAGACGAAGAAAUGGUAGUUGCUGCAAAUUGUAAAUAGUUUCGAGUUUUGUUUCUUCAAUGUAUAUUGCAUUCAUUCGAGCUCUCAAUAAAAAAUGACCAUGAAAGUUUA